This is a non-coding RNA of Cricetulus griseus (Chinese hamster), 73 nucleotides long. The record is from Rfam. NCBI's taxonomy places the organism in Eukaryota, Metazoa, Chordata, Mammalia, Rodentia, Cricetidae.
AAGGGAGGGGCUCAGUGGUUAAAAGCACUUGUUUCCCAUGCAAAGAACCUGGGUUCAACUCCCAGCACCCACA